UACGUCCAUGCGUGAGCGUGAGCUCCUCGCCUGGCCCUGGGUAGUGCACCUGCUGCCCUCCAGGUUGCCCGUCAGAUUCCGAGGCCCACCGGGGAAAACCCCAUGCCCUGGUGCUUCCCUUGGGCAGCUCUCUCCGGAGUCGUCACGGUGAGGGAGGUGGGCCUGCUCCCUGGUGGGGCGGUUGCCAUCUCGUCGUGGUUGCACUGUCUUCGCUGGGGUUGCACGUGGGUGUGGCAGCCAUCGAUUCUGGCGGCCGCGACCAUGCAAAGAGGGACUGUCAUACUUUCCAAACAGACCUCCUUGUGAGGCACCUGGACUAGUCUGAAGCCACAAUCCUGAUGAAGCUCGUGGUAAAAACGCCUGUGUGGGUGAGAACCUAAGCCCAAGUAAGCUCCCAACUAGCACCUGCUACAGCUGGAUGAGUGAGGCCACUUUGGACCUUCCAGCCAUCUCAACACCCAAGCCAACACCGUGGGAAGCAGAAGAACCUUCCAGUCAGUCAACAGAAUUGUAAGAAAAUAGGAUAACAGCAGUUGGCAGUGUCUACCUGGAAGACUGUAUUGAAAAUGAUUCUGAGGCUGAUGAUCUAUGGUCCAUUAUUGCUGUCUGCCAUGAGCAUGGGAAUGGAGAAUGGGAGCACAUAUGGCAUGUGUUUACAUUCUUGCCUUCCCCCUUGUCUGGUGCCGUUUUGUCCUCAGGGCUCUCCUAAGAGUCUUGAAGGUGCAAAAAUGGACAUUUUUUUGGACAAACCUUGUGCUCACAUAAGGAGUGUCUUGGUCAACUCCACGGUGCACACUAAGCAGGCUCUGUGAACCUCCCACCUUUCUUCUCCCCCAAGUAGAGCUGCUGACCUAGUUCCCGGCUACUGAGAUCCUGACUAAUUGUCAUCCCUUGCAAGCAGACCUUCACUGAACCUUAGGAGCAGAAAAUUCAGAAACAAAAGCAAGAAAUAAAAGAGCUGUCAGAAAGAAUCUACAUAGAACCCUGAAGUUGUGCUUUCAUAACUGAAUAAAUAACUCCUUGAGCAAUAAUUUGUUUGCAAGCUGUUAAUUAGCAGCAUAAUUAAUUUCUGCAGAUUAUAAAUAACAGAGCACAAAGUGGCAUUCCCAGUAGAGCCAAUGAAAAAUUACCUAAACCAUUUUAAGAACCAAAAAUAGUUCACAAUGUAACAGAUUUAAAGGGGCUCUAGAAUCCGGGUGGUGCCAUUUUCUUUUUCCUCUGGGUUAAAAAGAAAGAAAAAAAAAAUUCCCCAGAAAACUCAAC
Phacochoerus africanus (Common warthog) is the source of this 1263-nucleotide long non-coding RNA. RefSeq lists it as uncharacterized. NCBI's taxonomy places the organism in Eukaryota, Metazoa, Chordata, Mammalia, Artiodactyla, Suidae. The record is from RefSeq and is a predicted model, not a curated record. The transcript is spliced from 3 exons.